UGCCAGCAGCCGCGGUAAUACGAAGGGACCUAGCGUAGUUCGAAAUUACUGGGCUUAAAGAGUUCGUAGGUGGUUAAAAAAGUUGGUGGUGAAAUCCCAGAGCUUAACUCUGGAACUGCCAUCAAAACUUUUUAGCUAGAGUAUGAUAGCGGAAAGCAGAACUUCUAGUGUAGAGGUGAAAUUCGUAGAUAUUAGAAAGAAUACCGAUUGCGAAGGCAGCUAUCUGGGAUACAACUGACGCUGAGGUACGAAAGCGUGGGGAGCAAACAGGAUUAGAUA
This 279-nucleotide ribosomal RNA is filed under the name uncultured bacterium. RNAcentral's name for it is "partial 16S ribosomal RNA". It matches the Rfam family "Bacterial small subunit ribosomal RNA", at positions 506 to 784 of the family's 1533-position model. The record is from RNAcentral.